Molecule: long non-coding RNA, 552 nt
Filed under: Elaeis guineensis (African oil palm)
Lineage: Eukaryota; Viridiplantae; Streptophyta; Magnoliopsida; Arecales; Arecaceae
Description: long non-coding RNA (EGUI_LNC055153)
Source: RNAcentral
UUUGUGGCGUCGGAUUUAUGUGAAAUAUUCACAGACUGACUAACUUAGAUUUUGAUCUGAUAAAUAUUAUUUUAGGAUAUCCCAAAGAAAUUAAGGAUAUUCUUUUAUCUUCUUAAUGGACAUUGGAUAUUCGUGAAUUUUAAGAUAUGCUUUUUGAAAAAAAAGUUUUUUGGUGAAGGAACUCAUGUUGUUAAGAAUAAGCUUGGUGAAGCUUGAUACGUAGAAAAACUGACUCUGACAUAUAAACCAACAGAACCAGAUUUAAUUAGAUUAAAUUCGAAGCCUGAUGUAAAGGCAUCCUUGAGGAGAUACAGUAGAGUACCAUGUCAGUCAGACAGAUACUUCAGUUUUUAGAUUCGAGGUGGGGAUUUAAUCUCCCAUACGGAUGUUAUACAGGGAUCUAACUUUGAGAAGUAGCUUGGAGCCAUUAAAUCUGAAAUAAAGUCUAUGAAGAUCGACGAUGUAUGGACAUUCGUUGAUUCAUCUGAAGGGGUAAGACCCAUAGGGUGUAAGUGGAUUUUAGAUGGAUAAAAGGUGCACACGAAAAUGUAG